This 2728-nucleotide long non-coding RNA is filed under the name Homo sapiens (human). RNAcentral's name for it is "HSALNT0258100". The record is from RNAcentral. Lineage: Eukaryota; Metazoa; Chordata; Mammalia; Primates; Hominidae.
GCCCUCGUCCUGCAGCCGCACGGCAGACAGCCGAAGCCGGUGUGAGAUGUCAUUGCCCUGGACGCGUACGGUCUGCAAGAGAGCAGGGUUAGAGGCCGGGCUGGGCAGCUCCCAAACCUACUCUUCUGGCCACCCUGGCCGUCGCGCCCCCUCAUCCGCGCACCCCAACACUUCCCGGAUCCUGGUUUGCCCACCAUCACGAUCCGGCUUCCCUUUCACCCGCGUCUACCCAGUGGCAUAGGGCUUCCAACUCUGCGUGGACGCCAGGCAGCCAGCUCUUUGGACUGUGUCCCCACGUCCCCAUCACGUUAACCAAACGCCCACCUUGCAUCUGCCCCGCCCAUACAAACCAACACUGCUUGUCUUCCCGUAGCUGGCGCUUCAGAAGGGCAGAGUCCACCUCUCCUUCCUCCCUCCUGCACCUUCAGGAAACCCCAGGCUGGAUUCCUUGUUCCUUAACUUCCCCACGUCUUUCCCGCCCCGACGCGCUCCAACCGACAGUCCCGCCCCAGCCGGCCCUCCUCACCUCCCGGAGCACGGAGGGCCUGCCCGAAUCGCUUCCUAAGGAAAGCCACCCUGUCACCGGACCCCGCCCUUUACAGCUAACACUGUGCUUUCUUAAGAAGGCAAGCAACGCUGAGGCUGCUGCCUGGCUCCCUGGCCACCUGCUACCAACCCGCCUUUCCGCGGGAUCUCCAGAAGCCCCCCAGCGAAGUGCUCCUCCCCUGCGCCCCGGUGGGGACUUCGGGAAGUACUGCUCUACGGCUCUCAACAAACACCCAGGGAGCCCUCACCUCUGAACCGAGCCCACGAGGAGGCUUCGUCAUCUCCAGGCCUUUCUACGCUCCAGGACACUUGGACCAACAAAAGAUAUUUUCUUCUCAGUCAUGCAUGCAAAUAUAUGGAAGAUCUUAGAAAAUUGUGGAAAGUGGGGCAUACUGAACAAAAUCACUGCCAUCAGAGAGAAUGAAGUGAUGCAAGAUCAGGAUGUGUCAGGAAGCCCAGGCGUGUGUCGCCACGUUGAUCUCUGUGUGAAAUAGGACGGACUCAGUACCUGCAGCUAGACAACGCUGGAGAAACUCCAAAGGACUGAGUGCCGCCCAGGCUUCAGGAGAGUAAGACAACAGACACUAUGCACUUUUCUAAUGUGGCCGGCACUCUGUGCUUGCAAUCACAUAUGUGCCACAGACAGGAUUUCUAUCAAACAAACAAGAAGAACAGAUGGAUGCCAAGCCCGUUGUCACUUUCCUGGUGCGUUUAACAGGAGCCAGGGGAGAAGUCCAGUUUGGGGCGUCUUGGGAAGUUUCCACAUCAUCCAUGAAAUUCUGUGGUGGACUUGUCACCCACACCAUGGGUGGGUUUGAUGGCUUGGUGGUCGGCAGUGCAAUGACCACAACCAUGUUGGCUUUUAUUACUCACAACACCGGGGAUCGUUCCCAGAGCAGUGCUUUUCUAAACACUGGAGAAAGCAGGGCUUGCAUUGGGCUGGGGAGCUGAGUCAUUGCAUGCAGAGGCGGAGUCAAGGCGAUCGUAGAUCAUGCUUCCACAUAUGUUGCAUGUAGAGAAAACAGCCUCCUCUCUGGCCAUGGAUUCUAGUAUGGUAACUAGGAGAGUUCCCCAGAGUUCAUCUCUGGAUCCAAUCAGUUUUUGUUUUACCAGAGAUGAGCUUUUUGCUGGAAAUUUUUGAAACAACAACUCAAGGUGCAACCGUUACUGGUGGGUACUUUUUUUUUUUUUUUUUUCUGAGACUGAGUCUCACUCUGUUGCCCAGGCUGGAGUGCAGUGGCUCGAUCUCAGCUCACUGAAACCUCUGCCUCCUGGGUUCAAGUGAUUCUCCUGCCUCAGCCUCCUGAGUAGCUGGGAUUAUCGGUGUGUGCCACCAUGCCUGGCUAAUUUUUCUAUUUUUAGUAGAGACAGGGUUUCUCCAUGUUGGGCAGGCUGGUCUAGAACUCCUGACCCCAGGUGAUCUGCCUGCCUCGGCCUCCCAAAGUGCUGGGAUUAUAGGCAUGAGCUACUGUGCCCGGCCACUAGUGGGUAGUUUUGCACUGUGUGUAACCCCAAACCUGGGACCCUGGGAUACAGACUGAUGACCAAGACAAAUCCAGUGAAGAAUUACGGAUCUUUGGACUCAUCUCCAACUGUUUCUGGGCUCAGCUGGCAUGAGAAAGGAGUCUCAGAAUGCCCAGCUCCACCAGAGGUGCCCAGCACCUCCCCUCACUCCACACUUAGGAAGCAAUGUCGUUUCCUGUGCCAGUCAGCUCUAAAUGAUUAUGUAAUUACAUUUGUGAAUGUAAUCCUGUGGGGCAUCAUUCUAAUUAUAGCCCACAAUCCUUUCUAGCAGUGUUCAGAGAAAUAAUAUGUGCGAUGAAGUGGGGCUGCUCUGUGUACUGCAAGAAUGUCCAGGAACCUGAGCACAUGCGGUCGCACCUGCCCCCUGGAAUCCACAUGCCCUUGGCUCUUUCUUAAAAAGCGGAUCAAAGGGUCCAGUCCAUGGCAGCCACUUCUCAGGGCAGGUGCAAUUCAGUGCAUGCUUUAAUUGCAGGUCCCCAAAGAACUUUGCAGACAUUCUUUUCUCGUUGUUCAUGAUGCAUUCUUUAAAGUAAUUUUGAGUGAAUUUUAUGGUAUGUAAAUUAUGCCUCAAUAAAUUUGUUAAAAAUAAAGUGGUUAUUAAGUUAAUUAUAAUCAACACAGACAUGUGUGGGUCACACAGACAAUCACUGCUGCAGGC